This 240-nucleotide unclassified non-coding RNA is filed under the name soil metagenome. RNAcentral describes it as "partial contains 5.8S ribosomal RNA, internal transcribed spacer 2, and large subunit ribosomal RNA". The record is from RNAcentral.
AACGAGGCCGACCUGCGGCUGAGUUACCUGCGGAAGGAUCAUACCGAGUGAGGGCCCUCUGGGUCCAACCUCCCACCCGUGUCUAUUGUACCUUGUUGCUUCGGCGGGCCCGCCGUUUCGACGGCCGCCGGGGAGGCCUCGCGCCCCCGGGCCCGCGCCCGCCGAAGACCCCAACAUGAACGCUGUUCUGAAAGUAUGCAGUCUGAGUUGAUUAUCAUAAUCAGUUAAAACUUUUAACAA